Camelina sativa (false flax) is the source of this 443-nucleotide RNA transcript. RefSeq lists it as uncharacterized. The record is from RefSeq and is a predicted model, not a curated record. NCBI's taxonomy places the organism in Eukaryota, Viridiplantae, Streptophyta, Magnoliopsida, Brassicales, Brassicaceae.
UUCAAAUUAAAAGUUUGUUGCUUUGGUCGGAUUUCGAAAGGGAUAGCAAGCGAGUCGACAUGCUUUCAUCUCAUGAAAGCCUCACAUAAGGAGAAAUCACAGAACAAGUAGCAACAAUCAGAGAGACAAAAGAUACUUCACAUGUGCGAAUGUUGAUGAUGGAGAGAUGCAUAUUCACAAGUGGUGGGAUAUAGCUGUCAUGGAGGAGAUGGGCGAGAUGAACAAACAAUGUCAAGUGCUGUCUGAGAAGGUGGAUAGCCUCACAAUCGCAAGUGACUAUGACUCGCACAUCAGUACUGAAACCGAGCAGAAAAUAGUCAUGUUAGAGAAGGUAGUGUUAGAGCUACGGAAGAGUAGAAAUAGGUUUAGAAAUGGUACAGAAUUGAUAUUCGUAAUUGCUAUUGUUGUAUGUUUAAUAUGUAUGGUGGUGAUGUCUAUGAAAU